UACGGAGGGUGCAAACGUUGCUCGGAAUCACUGGGCGUAAAGCGCACGUAGGCGGUUUCUUAAGUCAGGGGUGAAAUCCUGGAGCUCAACUCCAGAACUGCCUUUGAUACUGGGAGACUUGGAGUCCGGGAGAGGUGAGUGGAACUGCGAGUGUAGAGGUGAAAUUCGUAGAUAUUCGCAAGAACACCAGUGGCGAAGGCGGCUCACUGGCCCGGUACUGACGCUGAGGUGCGAAAGCGUGGGGAGCAAACAGG
Molecule: ribosomal RNA, 254 nt
Filed under: uncultured bacterium
Lineage: Bacteria
Description: partial 16S ribosomal RNA
Rfam family: Bacterial small subunit ribosomal RNA
Source: RNAcentral